Molecule: long non-coding RNA, 1344 nt
Organism: Eriocheir sinensis (Chinese mitten crab)
Lineage: Eukaryota; Metazoa; Arthropoda; Malacostraca; Decapoda; Varunidae
Exons: 2
Source: RefSeq, a predicted model, not a curated record
UGUGAUCCCAGUGAUAGUUUUACAUGUCUUCUGCAUCUUGAAAGGGAAAAUCACCCAUGAAAUUCGGUUAAUCUUCUCUGUGGCCUUGGAAAAUAAUCAUAUAGGCCUCUCGUAGAAUUUAUUGGGAUACUCAUGAGCUGUUAUGUGAUCCCAGUGGUAGUUUUACAUGUCUUCUGCAUCUUGAAAGGGAAAACAUCCAUAAAAACCCGGUUAAUCUUCUCCGUGCCCUUGGGAAAUAGAGAUAACGGGAACCCGCCGAUACGUUUAAGAAUAUGAAUCAAUCUAGUACACUGCCUACCAGCUACUUCAUCAUCAAAUACCUUAGUUAACGUGGUACAUGAGGAAGGAAAUGACCUUGCAGUAUAUCAGCCUAGUACACUGUCUACCAGCUACUUCAUCAAAUACCUUAGUUAACGUGGUACAUGAGGAAGGAAAUGACCUUGCAGUAUAUCAGCCUAGUACACUGUCUACCAGCUACUUCAUCAAACACCUUAGUUAACGUGGUACAUGAGGAAGGAAAUGAUCUUGCAGUAUAUCAGCCUAGUACACUGCCUACCAGGUACUUCAUCAAACACCUUAGUUAACGUGGCACAAGAGGAAGGAAAUGAUCUUGCAGUAUAUCAGCCUAGUACACUGUCUACCAGCUACUUCAUCAAACACCUUAGUUAACGUGGUACAAGAGGAAGGAAAUGAUCUUGCAGUAUAUCAGCCUAGUACACUGUCUACCAGCUACUUCAUCAUCAAAUACCUUAGUUAACGUGGCACAUGAGGAAGGAAAUGAUCUUGCAGUAUAUCAGCCUAGUACACUGUCUACCAGCUACUUCAUCAAAUACCUUAGUUAACGUGGUACAUGAGGAAGGAAAGGAUCUUGCAGUAUAUCAGCCUAGUACACUGUCUACCAGCUACUUCAUCAAACACCUUAGUUAACGUGGUACAUGAGGAAGGAAAGGAUCUUGCAGUAUAUCAGCCUAGUACACUGUCUACCAGCUACUUCAUCAAAUACCUUAGUUAACGUGGCACAUGAGGAAGGAAAUGACCUUGCAGUAUAUAAAAAUUUAUUAAAAUUACAAAGCAGAAUGACCAACAAAGACAAUAAUAAGAAUCAUGAUGUUGAGGGUGUCUUACUGCUUAUUUGAUAAGCACACGACGAAGUGGACCGUGGAACCCAGCUGACCGAGGCACUGGGCUGGAGAUGACCUGGCCGAGGCUGUGUUUGACCUUUGACCAGUGACCUGCCUUCCUAUGACCAUACUACACACUGGUGAUCUGGCUAAGUAUGACCUUUGACCAGUGACCUUCAUUCCUAUAACCAUACUACACACUGGUGACCUGGCUAAGUAUGAC